RNAcentral lists this microRNA precursor (195 nucleotides) under Oryza punctata. RNAcentral describes it as "MIR812 microRNA precursor family". It matches the Rfam family "MIR812 microRNA precursor family". Lineage: Eukaryota; Viridiplantae; Streptophyta; Magnoliopsida; Poales; Poaceae. The record is from Rfam by way of RNAcentral.
UUUAAGUGUAGGGUUUUGGACCCAAUGUUUGACCGUUCGUCUUUUUUGAAUUUUUUUAUGAUUAGUAUUUUUAUUGUUAUUAGAUGAUAAAAUAUGAAUAAUACUUUGUGUGACUUAUUUUUUAUUUUUUUUCAUAAUUUUUUUAAAUAAGAUGGGUGAUCAAAUGUUGAAAAAAAACCCACAACUACACUUAAA